RNAcentral lists this ribosomal RNA (253 nucleotides) under uncultured bacterium. Its description in RNAcentral is "partial 16S ribosomal RNA". It matches the Rfam family "Bacterial small subunit ribosomal RNA", at positions 524 to 776 of the family's 1533-position model. The record is from RNAcentral.
UACGUAGGGUGCAAGCGUUAAUCGGAAUUACUGGGCGUAAAGCGUGCGCAGGCGGUUGUGCAAAACAGAUGUGAAAUCCCCGGGCUCAACCUGGGAAUGGCAUUUGUGACUGCACGGCUAGAGUGUGUCAGAGGGGGGUAGAAUUCCACGUGUAGCAGUGAAAUGCGUAGAGAUGUGGAGGAAUACCGAUGGCGAAGGCAGCCCCCUGGGAUAACACUGACGCUCAUGCACGAAAGCGUGGGGAGCAAACAGG